GGGCAGUCUGAUCCAGAUUAUGAUGCUGCGUCUGCUGCAAAAGCACGGGCAUCGGCCUGUUGCUCUGGUGGGUGGCGGCACNGGCCAGAAUUGGCGAUCCGUCCUUCCGUGAAGAG
This 116-nucleotide unclassified non-coding RNA is filed under the name Drosophila melanogaster (fruit fly). RNAcentral's name for it is "partial miscellaneous RNA". The record is from RNAcentral. Lineage: Eukaryota; Metazoa; Arthropoda; Insecta; Diptera; Drosophilidae.